This 465-nucleotide ribosomal RNA is filed under the name uncultured Klebsiella sp. RNAcentral describes it as "bacterial SSU rRNA". It matches the Rfam family "Bacterial small subunit ribosomal RNA", at positions 338 to 795 of the family's 1533-position model. The record is from RNAcentral. Lineage: Bacteria; Pseudomonadati; Pseudomonadota; Gammaproteobacteria; Enterobacterales; Enterobacteriaceae.
CCUACGGGGGGCUGCAGUGGGGAGUAUUGCACAAUGGGCGCAAGCCUGAUGCAGCCAUGCCGCGUGUGUGAAGAAGGCCUUCGGGUUGUAAAGCACUUUCAGCGGGGAGGAAGGCGGUGAGGUUAAUAACCUCAUCGAUUGACGUUACCCGCAGAAGAAGCACCGGCUAACUCCGUGCCAGCAGCCGCGGUAAUACGGAGGGUGCAAGCGUUAAUCGGAAUUACUGGGCGUAAAGCGCACGCAGGCGGUCUGUCAAGUCGGAUGUGAAAUCCCCGGGCUCAACCUGGGAACUGCAUUCGAAACUGGCAGGCUAGAGUCUUGUAGAGGGGGGUAGAAUUCCAGGCGUAGCGGUGAAAUGCGUAGAGAUCUGGAGGAAUACCGGUGGCGAAGGCGGCCCCCUGGACAAAGACUGACGCUCAGGUGCGAAAGCGUGGGGAGCAAACAGGAUUAGAUACCCGAGUAGUC